GUAGGUGAACCUGCGGAAGGAUCAUUAAAAAUGAAGCCGGGAAACCGGUCCUUCUAACCCUUGAUUAUCUCAAUUUGUUGCUUUGGUGGGCCGCGCAAGCACCGGCUUCGGCUGGAUCGUGCCCGUCAGAGUCCACCCAAACUCUUGUAAACAGUGACGUCUGAGUAAAAAUUUAAUAGCAAAAAACUUUCAACAACGGAUCUCUUGGUUCUG
Molecule: unclassified non-coding RNA, 213 nt
Filed under: rhizosphere metagenome
Description: partial ribosomal RNA internal transcribed spacer region
Source: RNAcentral